AUGUGGGCCACUUCUGUGCGUAAAGAUGU
Molecule: non-coding RNA, 29 nt
Filed under: Cricetulus griseus (Chinese hamster)
Lineage: Eukaryota; Metazoa; Chordata; Mammalia; Rodentia; Cricetidae
Source: RNAcentral